RNAcentral lists this ribosomal RNA (812 nucleotides) under Rhizobiaceae bacterium KAs3-R13. RNAcentral's name for it is "bacterial SSU rRNA". It matches the Rfam family "Bacterial small subunit ribosomal RNA", at positions 9 to 861 of the family's 1533-position model. The record is from RNAcentral. Lineage: Bacteria; Pseudomonadati; Pseudomonadota; Alphaproteobacteria; Hyphomicrobiales; Rhizobiaceae.
GAGUUUGAUCCUGGCUCAGAACGAACGCUGGCGGCAGGCUUAACACAUGCAAGUCGAACGCCCCGCAAGGGGAGUGGCAGACGGGUGAGUAACGCGUGGGAAUCUACCGUACCCUACGGAAUAACGCAUGGAAACGUGUGCUAAUACCGUAUACGCCCUUAGGGGGAAAGAUUUAUCGGGGUAUGAUGAGCCCGCGUUGGAUUAGCUAGUUGGUGGGGUAAAGGCCUACCAAGGCGACGAUCCAUAGCUGGUCUGAGAGGAUGAUCAGCCACAUUGGGACUGAGACACGGCCCAAACUCCUACGGGAGGCAGCAGUGGGGAAUAUUGGACAAUGGGCGCAAGCCUGAUCCAGCCAUGCCGCGUGAGUGAUGAAGGUCUUAGGAUUGUAAAGCUCUUUCACCGAUGAAGAUAAUGACGGUAGUCGGAGAAGAAGCCCCGGCUAACUUCGUGCCAGCAGCCGCGGUAAUACGAAGGGGGCUAGCGUUGUUCGGAAUUACUGGGCGUAAAGCGCACGUAGGCGGAUAUUUAAGUCAGGGGUGAAAUCCCGCAGCUCAACUGCGGAACUGCCUUUGAUACUGGGUAUCUCGAGUAUGGAAGAGGUGAGUGGAAUUCCGAGUGUAGAGGUGAAAUUCGUAGAUUUUCGGAGGAACACCAGUGGCGAAGGCGGCUCACUGGUCCAUUACUGACGCUGAGGUGCGAAAAGCGUGUGGAGCAAACAGGAUUAGAUACCCCUGGUAGUCCCACGCCGUAAACCAAUGGAAUGUUAACCCGUCGGGCAGCUUUGCUGUUCGGGUGGCGCAAGCUAACCCCAU